AUUGAACGCUGGCGGCAGGCCUAACACAUGCAAGUCGAACGGUAACAGGAAGCAGCUUGCUGCUUUGCUGACGAGUGGCGGACGGGUGAGUAAUGUCUGGGAAACUGCCCGAUGGAGGGGGAUAACUACUGGAAACGGUAGCUAAUACCGCAUAACGUCGCAAGACCAAAGAGGGGGACCUUAGGGCCUCUUGCCAUCGGAUGUGCCCAGAUGGGAUUAGCUAGUAGGUGGGGUAACGGCUCACCUAGGCGACGAUCCCUAGCUGGUCUGAGAGGAUGACCAGCCACACUGGAACUGAGACACGGUCCAGACUCCUACGGGAGGCAGCAGUGGGGAAUAUUGCACAAUGGGCGCAAGCCUGAUGCAGCAAUGCCGCGUGUAUGAAGAAGGCCUUCGGGUUGUAAAGUACUUUCAGCGGGGAGGAAGGAAGUAAAGUUAAUACCUUUGCUCAUUGACGGUACCCGCAGAAGAAGCACCGGCUAACUCCGUG
Molecule: ribosomal RNA, 490 nt
Filed under: uncultured bacterium
Lineage: Bacteria
Description: partial 16S ribosomal RNA
Rfam family: Bacterial small subunit ribosomal RNA
Source: RNAcentral